UGGGGAAUAUUGCACAAUGGAGGGAACUCUGAUGCAGCGACGCCGCGUGAACGAAGAAGGCUUUCGAGUCGUAAAGUUCUUUUAUAUGGGAAGAUAAUGACGGUACCAUAAGAAAAAGCCCCGGCUAACUACGUGCCAGCAGCCGCGGUAAUACGUAGGGGGCUAGCGUUGUCCGGAAUCACUGGGCGUAAAGGGUUCGCAGGCGGAAAUGCAAGUCAGGUGUAAAAGGCAGUAGCUUAACUACUGUAAGCAUUUGAAACUGCAUAUCUUGAGAAGAGUAGAGGUAAGUGGAAGUUUUAGUGUAGCGGUGAAAUGCGUAGAUAUUAAAAAGAAUACCGGGGCGAAGGCGACUUACUGGGCUCAUUCUGACGCUGAGGAACGAAAGCGUGGGUAGCAAACAGG
Molecule: ribosomal RNA, 402 nt
Filed under: bacterium
Lineage: Bacteria
Description: partial 16S ribosomal RNA
Rfam family: Bacterial small subunit ribosomal RNA
Source: RNAcentral